This 439-nucleotide ribosomal RNA is filed under the name uncultured Neomegalonema sp. Its description in RNAcentral is "bacterial SSU rRNA". It matches the Rfam family "Bacterial small subunit ribosomal RNA", at positions 8 to 492 of the family's 1533-position model. The record is from RNAcentral. Lineage: Bacteria; Pseudomonadati; Pseudomonadota; Alphaproteobacteria; Rhodobacterales; Neomegalonemataceae.
AGAGUUUGAUCCUGGCUCAGAACGAACGCUGGCGGCAGGCUUAACACAUGCAAGUCGAACGGUUGUAGCAAUACAGCAGUGGCAGACGGGUGAGUAACACGUGGGAACCUUCCUAGGGGUACGGAACAACUCAGGGAAACUUGAGCUAAUACCGUAUACGUCCGUGAGGAGAAAGUUUUAACGCCCCUAGACGGGCCCGCGUAGGAUUAGGUAGUUGGUGAGGUAACGGCUCACCAAGCCUACGAUCCUUAGCUGAUCUGAGAGGAUGAUCAGCCACACUGGGACUGAGACACGGCCCAGACUCCUACGGGAGGCAGCAGUGGGGAAUCUUGGACAAUGGGCGCAAGCCUGAUCCAGCCAUGCCGCGUGAGUGAAGAAGGCCUUCGGGUUGUAAAGCUCUUUUACCAGGGACGAUAAUGACGGUACCUGGAGAAUAGCC